Molecule: long non-coding RNA, 269 nt
Filed under: Salvia miltiorrhiza (redroot sage)
Lineage: Eukaryota; Viridiplantae; Streptophyta; Magnoliopsida; Lamiales; Lamiaceae
Description: long non-coding RNA (SMIL_LNC003904)
Source: RNAcentral
GUUUUGUAGCCAAGUAGUGGGCAUAUUGCAAUCCAAACUUGGGUAUUUUAUUAGUUUGGUAGCCAUUUAUCCGAACACUGAGGCCCGCUCUUAAAAGACGGCCCGCACCAAAAAGCACUGUUCCUCUACGUAAUUGAAACCCGGGGUCACCCUCGGUUCUAUUUCCAGGUGUGCUACAGUAGUAGCUGCUAUUUUGAUGUGUACAAUUUUACCCACUAUUUCAAAGUAAAAAAAAAAAUCAAACUUUCAUUUCUCUCUCUCGUUUUUGG